This is a non-coding RNA of Phrynosoma platyrhinos (Desert horned lizard), 73 nucleotides long. Lineage: Eukaryota; Metazoa; Chordata; Lepidosauria; Squamata; Phrynosomatidae. The record is from the annotation of a GenBank genome assembly.
GGCUAAGCAUGGCAUAGUGGUUUGAGUGUUGGACUACAACUCUAGAGACCAGGGUUCAAUUUCCAGCCAGUCA